Molecule: long non-coding RNA, 780 nt
Filed under: Triticum aestivum (bread wheat)
Lineage: Eukaryota; Viridiplantae; Streptophyta; Magnoliopsida; Poales; Poaceae
Description: long non-coding RNA (TAES_LNC013520)
Source: RNAcentral
UUUUGUUUAAAUCCCCAAUUCUUCCAAUUGAUCAAAGUACAACUGGUUACUGUGUCAGGUUUCUUUUGUAUGAAUGUUGUAAACAUACAAUUGUCCUUGUAUAAUUUUAGACACUAUCUGUGUUCCUCACUUUUGCUGCUCUGCUCCAGUAUGAAUUACUCCCUCCGUUCCGAAAUGUAAGUCGCUGGAGGAUUCGUUCCGACCAAGUGAAAACGGUGGAAUUUACAUCGUUGCCCCUAGUUUGAAUCGGUAUCCCCAUCGUCUUCUUCCUCCAUCCGCCAGGCCAUAGCCCGCCUGUUCACCAGGACAUCGUCCGCCCGCCCGCCCCUGCUUCUCCUCCGCCUGCCCCUGCUUCUCCUCCAUGCGCCCAGGUCCCAUGCGCUCCCAGGUCCUCGCCUCCAACAGCGAUCCCAGGUCCUUGUCUCCAGCGGCGAUCCUAGAUCCAGGGGUGCCAAGGAGGCACACAGUAGCAGCGAUCCCAGUUCCCAGUUCCAGCAGCAGCAAUCCUAGGUCCCAGGUCCAGCAGCAGCAAUCCUAGGUCCCAGGUCCAGCAGCAGCGAUCCCAGGUCCUUAGGGCCUUAUCCUGCUCCUUCUUGUUGUCCUGGGCGUGCUCCUUCUUCUCUUGGGCAUGUUCCUUCUCCUGCAACAACAGCAACAACAGAGAUUAUAGUCAUACUGAUCAGUAGCAGCAACAACAGCUGCUGGGUUCUUCUGCAGGUGGAGUAUGACAGCAGCAGUAGUAGUUUGACAACAGCAGCAGCAGUAGUUUCACAACAGCAG